GAUCCUGGCUCAGGAUGAACGCUAGCUACAGGCUUAACACAUGCAAGUCGAGGGGCAGCAUGACCUAGCAAUAGGUUGAUGGCGACCGGCGCACGGGUGAGUAACACGUAUCCAACCUACCGGUUAUUCCGGAAUAACCUUGCGAAAGUAAGACUAAUACCCGAUGAAUUCGUUUAGUCGCAUGGCUUGAUGAAGAAAGAUUUAUCAGUAAAGGAUGGGGAUGCGUCCCAUUAGCUUGUUGG
This 242-nucleotide ribosomal RNA is filed under the name uncultured bacterium. RNAcentral describes it as "partial 16S ribosomal RNA". It matches the Rfam family "Bacterial small subunit ribosomal RNA", at positions 15 to 252 of the family's 1533-position model. The record is from RNAcentral.